Molecule: ribosomal RNA, 1112 nt
Filed under: Agaricales sp. MES-2013
Lineage: Eukaryota; Fungi; Basidiomycota; Agaricomycetes; Agaricales
Description: eukaryotic LSU rRNA
Rfam family: Eukaryotic large subunit ribosomal RNA (bases 440-1112)
Source: RNAcentral
CCUGCGGAAGGAUCAUUAUAGAAUGAAUAUUGAUUUUAUUCAAAUCCUGGUGCACUCUUUGUAGACCACUUCUAGUCUAUGUUUAUUUGCAUACUUUGUUAACAGAAUGGGUGAUCAUAAUUUAUUUAUUUUGACAACUUUCAACAACGGAUCUCUUGGUUCUCGCAUCGAUGAAGAACGCAGCGAAAUGCGAUAAGUAAUGUGAAUUGCAGAAUUCAGUGAAUCAUCGAAUCUUUGAACGCAUCUUGCGCUCCUUGGUAUUCCGAGGAGCACGCCCGUUUGAGUGUCGUGAUCAUUCUCAAUUUCUUAUAAUUAGAAAUUGGAUAAAAUGAAGGUUGCUGAGGACUAUAUAUUUGUUUCAGCUCGUUUGAAAGACAAACUUACUUUUGGGUGUUGCAUGAUGAUAAAAAAUUAUUAUGCAUGGGACUCUCUUAAUCUUUGACCUCAAAUCGGGUGGGACUACCCACUGAACUUAAGCAUAUCAAUAAGUGGAGGAAAAGAAACUAACAAGGAUUCCCCUAGUAACUGCGAGUGAAGUGGGAAAAGCUCAAAUUUAAAAUCUGGCAGUUUAUUUAUUUGGCUGUCCGAGUUGUAAUCUAGAGAAGCAUUAUCCGUGUCGGACCGUGUAUAAGUCUCCUGGAAUGGAGUGUCACAGAGGGUGAGAAUCCCGUCUUUGACAUGGACCCCCCGAUGCUAUUGUGAUAUGCUCUCAAAGAGUCGAGUUGUUUGGGAAUGCAGCUCUAAAUGGGUGGUAAAUUCCAUCUAAAGCUAAAUAUUGGCGAGAGACCGAUAGUGAACAAGUACCGUGAGGGAAAGAUGAAAAGAACUUUGAAAAGAGAGUUAAACAGUAUGUGAAAUUGUUGAAAGGGAAACGCUUGAAGUCAGUGACAUUGAUUAGAAAUCAACUUCAUUCAUUUUGGUGAUGGUGCAUUUUCUUAGUUGAUGGGUCAGCAUUGAUUUUGACCGGCAGAGAAAAACAUUCAGGGGAAUGUGGCAUCUUUUCUUAGAUGUGUUAUAACCCCCAUGAUUGAAUGUGUCGGUUGGAAUCGAGGAAAAUCCUGGGGCCCUUUGUUGGGGGCUUACUUGGGGAUGCUGGCAAUAAUGGCUUUAAU